This is a long non-coding RNA of Sabethes cyaneus, 393 nucleotides long. RefSeq lists it as uncharacterized. The record is from RefSeq and is a predicted model, not a curated record. The transcript is spliced from 3 exons. Lineage: Eukaryota; Metazoa; Arthropoda; Insecta; Diptera; Culicidae.
GAUCUGAUCAAACGUGCUCAUCAGUGCUUUCGACGUGCAUGCUGAUGAAGUCUUAUUUCGAAAUUGUGAAGCAAUCUCAACUAAGAAAAGAUAUUACUUAAAUUCCCAAAUAAAAGUUCAUCGAGUACGAUUUAUCAUGUGGCGCGUAUAACCACGUGGAGAAAUCCGCGCAGCGUUCGUUCUUGAACCGUACGUGAUUCACUCAUUAGGUCUGCACCCCGGAUUUGUAAUUCAUGAUCCAGUUCAUCAUCUGCGAGAUGGCUUGCAUUCAUCGCGAAAUAUUGUGCCUUUACAUGUUGUUCCAUAUUCCUAUUCAGAAUCGUUAUUUAAAUUUUCAAACUUAGCGAGAUUAAAUACAAAUAUGAAAUUUUUGAGAUUACACAAUAAAAUUAU